UGUGAAAAUUAUGAUUCAAGGAAUCUAAAAUGAUUUGAAGUUAAGAUGCCAUCCAUGGCCUGAUUCACA
Molecule: small nucleolar RNA, 69 nt
Organism: Rhincodon typus (whale shark)
Lineage: Eukaryota; Metazoa; Chordata; Chondrichthyes; Orectolobiformes; Rhincodontidae
Product: small nucleolar RNA SNORD123
Exons: 1
Source: RefSeq, a predicted model, not a curated record